Molecule: non-coding RNA, 97 nt
Organism: Acanthosepion pharaonis
Lineage: Eukaryota; Metazoa; Mollusca; Cephalopoda; Sepiida; Sepiidae
Source: the annotation of a GenBank genome assembly
GUUAAACACCAGUUCCUGUACGAACACCGAAGUUAAGCAACAUUGAGUCUAGUCUGUACCUUGAUGGGUGACCGCUUGGGAAUACUAGGUGUUGUAA